AGGAUAAAACUUUCAUGGAACCCAUAAUCUGAAGAGCAAGAAAAAAGUGUAUGAAGACCGCAAAGAGGGAUAAGACAGGAGUAGUGCUAAAGAAUGUGCACUCUGACCACACAACAAUCACAGAGAAGAUGGACAGAACCACAGCAAGUAUCUUGUAAAACCAUGGUCGCAAAAGACAUUCCCAGUACCAUUCUAGAAGACAAAAGAAAAAAAUGAUUAGGAAAACUACAA
This 231-nucleotide long non-coding RNA is filed under the name Homo sapiens (human). Its description in RNAcentral is "HSALNT0086589". Lineage: Eukaryota; Metazoa; Chordata; Mammalia; Primates; Hominidae. The record is from RNAcentral.